CCUACGGGAGGCAGCAGUGGGGAAUAUUGCACAAUGGGCGCAAGCCUGAUGCAGCAAUGCCGCGUGUGUGAAGAAGGCCUGCGGGUUGUAAAGCACUUUCAGUAGAGAAGAAAAGCUUACGGUUAAUACCCGUGAGUCUUGACGUUACCUACAGAAGAAGCUCCGGCUAACUCCGUGCCAGCAGCCGCGGUAAUACGGAGGGAGCGAGCGUUAAUCGGAAUUACUGGGCGUAAAGCGCGCGUAGGCGGCUUUGUCAGUCGGAUGUGAAAGCCCUGGGCUCAACCUGGGAAUGGCACUCGAUACUGCAGAGCUAGAGUAUGGUAGAGGGAAGUGGAAUUUCCGGUGUAGCGGUGAAAUGCGUAGAUAUCGGAAGGAACACCAGUGGCGAAGGCGACUUCCUGGGCCAAUACUGACGCUGAGGUGCGAAAGCGUGGGGGGCAAACAGGAUUAGAUACCCUGGUAGUCC
Molecule: ribosomal RNA, 466 nt
Filed under: uncultured bacterium
Lineage: Bacteria
Description: bacterial SSU rRNA
Rfam family: Bacterial small subunit ribosomal RNA
Source: RNAcentral